RNAcentral lists this ribosomal RNA (469 nucleotides) under uncultured bacterium. RNAcentral describes it as "bacterial SSU rRNA". It matches the Rfam family "Bacterial small subunit ribosomal RNA", at positions 29 to 507 of the family's 1533-position model. The record is from RNAcentral.
AGUUAACGUUGGCGGCGUGCCUAACACAUGCAAGUCGAACGCGUCCUAAGGGCAACUUUAGGAUGAGUGGCGAACGGGUGAGUAUCACGUGGGUAAUCUUCCUUUAAGUGGGGAAUAAGCUCUCGAAAGGGAGUCUAAUACCGCAUGACAUUCCGGGACACAAGUCCCGUAAUCAAAGCCGCAAGGCGCUUGAAGAUGAGCCUGCGUCCUAUUAGCUAGUUGGUGGGGUAACGGCCUACCAAGGCUCAGAUGGGUAGCCGGCCUGAGAGGGUGAACGGCCACACUGGGACUGAGACACGGCCCAGACUCCUACGGGAGGCAGCAGUGAGGAAUUUUGCGCAAUGGGGGAAACCCUGACGCAGCGACGCCGCGUGGAGGAUGAAGGCCUUCGGUCGGUAAACUCCUGUCAGAGGUGAAGAAUGCCCGCAAGGUUGACGGUAACCUCAGAGGAAGCCCGGCUAACUACGUG